RNAcentral lists this ribosomal RNA (439 nucleotides) under uncultured bacterium. RNAcentral describes it as "partial 16S ribosomal RNA". It matches the Rfam family "Bacterial small subunit ribosomal RNA", at positions 339 to 795 of the family's 1533-position model. The record is from RNAcentral.
CUACGGGUGGCACCAGUGAGGAAUAUUGCACAAUGGGGGAAACCCUGAUGCAGCAACGCCGCGUGGAGGAUGACGCAUUUCGGUGUGUAAACUCCUUUUAUCAGAGAAGAAAAUGACGGUAUCUGAUGAAUAAGCUCCGGCUAACUCCGUGCCAGCAGCCGCGGUAAUACGAAGGGAGCAAGCGUUAUUCGGAAUCACUGGGCGUAAAGGACGCGUAGGCGGGUUAUUAAGUCAGGUGUGAAAUCCAAUGGCUCAACCAUUGAACUGCACUUGAAACUGGUAACCUAGAGUAUGGAAGGGGCAGAUGGAAUUAGUGGUGUAGGGGUAAAAUCCGUAGAUAUCACUAGGAAUACCGAAAGCGAAGGCGAUCUGCUGGGACAUUACUGACGCUGAGGCGUGAAAGCGUGGGGAGCAAACAGGAUUAGAUACCCCAGUAGUC